RNAcentral lists this ribosomal RNA (494 nucleotides) under uncultured bacterium. RNAcentral's name for it is "partial 16S ribosomal RNA". It matches the Rfam family "Bacterial small subunit ribosomal RNA", at positions 28 to 507 of the family's 1533-position model. The record is from RNAcentral.
GACGAACGCUGGCGGCGUGCUUAACACAUGCAAGUCGAACGGAAAGGCCUGCUUUCCCUUGUGGAUUGCGGGUACUCGAGUGGCGAACGGGUGAGUAACACGUGAGUGAUCUGCCCCCAACUUGGGUAUAAGCCUGGGAAACUGGGUCUAAUUCCCGAUAGGACUGCAGGGUGGUGCCUGUGGUGGAAAACGAUUUUCUAGUGGUUGGGGAUGAGCUCGCGGCCUAUCAGCUUGUUGGUGGGGUAAUGGCCUACCAAGGCGGCGACGGGUAGCCGGCCUGGGAGGGUGGACGGCCACAUUGGGACUGAGAUACGGCCCAGACUCCUACGGGAGGCAGCAGUGGGGAAUAUUGCACAAUGGGCGGAAGCCUGAUGCAGCGACACCGCGUGGGGGAUGACGGCCUUCGGGUUGUAAACUCCUUUCGACCGCGAGGAAGCCACCUGGUUGGAAGGGUGGUGACGGUAGUGGUAGAAGAAGCACCGGCUAACUACGUG